Molecule: ribosomal RNA, 468 nt
Filed under: uncultured bacterium
Lineage: Bacteria
Description: partial 16S ribosomal RNA
Rfam family: Bacterial small subunit ribosomal RNA
Source: RNAcentral
GACGAACGCUGGCGGCGUGCUUAACACAUGCAAGUCGAACGGAAAGGCCCUGCUUUUGUGGGGUGCUCGAGUGGCGAACGGGUGAGUAACACGUGAGUAACCUGCCCUUGACUUUGGGAUAACUUCAGGAAACUGGGGCUAAUACCGGAUAGGAGCUCCUGCUGCAUGGUGGGGGUUGGAAAGUUUCGGCGGUUGGGGAUGGACUCGCGGCUUAUCAGCUUGUUGGUGGGGUAGUGGCUUACCAAGGCUUUGACGGGUAGCCGGCCUGAGAGGGUGACCGGCCACAAUGGGACUGAGGUACGGCCCAGACUCCUACGGGAGGCAGCAGUGGGGAAUAUUGCACAAUGGGCGGGAGCCUGAUGCAGCAACGCCGCGUGCGGGAUGACGGCCUUCGGGUUGUAAACCGCUUUCGCCUGUGACGAAGCGUGAGUGACGGUAAUGGGUAAAGAAGCACCGGCUAACUACGUG